GACGAACGCUGGCGGCGUGCUUAACACAUGCAAGUCGAACGGAAAGGCCCUGCUUUUGUGGGGUGCUCGAGUGGCGAACGGGUGAGUAACACGUGAGUAACCUGCCCUUGACUUUGGGAUAACUUCAGGAAACUGGGGCUAAUACAGGAUAGGAGCCCCUGCUGCAUGGUGGGGGUUGGAACGUUUCGGCGGUUGGGGAUGGAUUCGCGGCUUAUCAGCUUGUUGGUGGGGGAGUGGCUUACCAAGGCUUUGACGGGUCGCCGGCCUGAGAGGGUGACCGGGCUCCAUGGUACUGAGAGACGGCGCAGACUCCUACGGGAGGCAGCGGUGGGAAGUAUUGCACAGUGGGCGGGAGCCUGAUGCAGCGACGCCGCGUUCGGAAUGACGUCCUUCUGGUUAUGAACCGCUUUCGGCUGUGACGAAGCGUGAGUGACGGUAAUGAGUGAAUAAGCACCGGCUAACUACGUG
RNAcentral lists this ribosomal RNA (468 nucleotides) under uncultured bacterium. RNAcentral's name for it is "partial 16S ribosomal RNA". It matches the Rfam family "Bacterial small subunit ribosomal RNA", at positions 28 to 507 of the family's 1533-position model. The record is from RNAcentral.